UGCGGUUAAAAAGCUCGUAGUUGGAUUUCUGUCGGUGAAUGGCGCUCCGCCCCCUGUGGUGAGUAGUCGUCAUGCCCCCGGCAUCCUCCUAGGGAAUGCUGCUGCACUUUAUUGUGUGGUGUAUGAACUAGGACUUUUACUUUGAGGAAAUGAGAGUGUUACAAGCAGGCAUGCGCCGUGAAUACGUUAGCAUGGAAUAAUAGCAUCGGACUUCGAUCCAAUACUGUUGGUUUCUUGGGUCGAAGUAAAGGUGAACAGGGAUUGUUGGGGGCAUUCGUAUUUAACUGUCAGAGGUGAAAUUCUUGGAUUUGUCGAAGACGGACUACUGCGAAAGCAUCUGCCAAAGAUGUUCUCAUUGAUCAAGAACGAAAGUUAGGUGAUCGAAGACGAUCAGAUACCGUCCUAGUCUUAACCAUAAACUAUGCCGACUGGAGAUAGGAGGUCGUUAAAUUGGUGACGCCUUCUGCAUCUUGAGAGAAAUCAAAGUCUUUGGGUUCCGGGGGGAGUAUGGUCGCAAGGCUGAAACUUAAAGGAAUUGACGGAAGGGCACCACCAGGAGUGGAGCCUGCGGCUUAAUUUGACUCAACAC
Molecule: ribosomal RNA, 589 nt
Filed under: uncultured marine eukaryote
Lineage: Eukaryota
Description: SSU rRNA
Rfam family: Eukaryotic small subunit ribosomal RNA
Source: RNAcentral